CAUGCAAGUCGAACGAAGUAGCAAUACUUAGUGGCAGACGGGUGAGUAACAUGUGGGUAUCUGCCCUUUGGCCUGGAAUAACACGAGGAAACUUGUGCUAAUACCGGAUAAGUCUUUACGGAGAAAGCUUUAUGCACCAUUGGAUGAGCCUGCACUUGAUUAGUUUGUUGGUGGGGUAAUGGCCUACCAAGACUUUGAUCAAUAGCUGAUUUGAGAGGAUGAUCAGCCACAUUGGGACUGAGACACGGCCCAAACUCCUACGGGAGGCAGCAGUGGGGAAUCUUGCACAAUGGAGGAAACUCUGAUGCAGCGAUGCCGCGUGAGUGAAGAAGGCCUUUGGGUUGGAAAGCUCUUUCGUCGGGGAAGAAAAUGACUGUACCCGAAUAAGAAGGUCCGGCUAACUUCGUGCCAGCAGCCGCGGUAAUACGAAGGGACCUAGCGUAGUUCGGAAUUACUGGGCUUAAAGAGUUCGUAGGUGGUUGAAAAAGUUGGUGGUGAAAUCCCAGAGCUUAACUCUGGAACUGCCAUCAAAACUUUUCAGCUAGAGUUUGAUAGAGGAAAGCAGAAUUUCUAGUGUAGAGGUGAAAUUCGUAGAUAUUA
Molecule: ribosomal RNA, 600 nt
Filed under: uncultured Alphaproteobacteria bacterium
Lineage: Bacteria; Pseudomonadati; Pseudomonadota; Alphaproteobacteria
Description: bacterial SSU rRNA
Rfam family: Bacterial small subunit ribosomal RNA
Source: RNAcentral